Molecule: ribosomal RNA, 485 nt
Filed under: uncultured bacterium
Lineage: Bacteria
Description: bacterial SSU rRNA
Rfam family: Bacterial small subunit ribosomal RNA
Source: RNAcentral
GACGAACGCUGGCUGCGUGCUUAACACAUGCAAGUCGAACGCUGAAGCCUGGUGCUUGCACCGGGUGGAUGAGUGGCGAACGGGUGAGUAACACGUGAGUAACCUGCCCCUGACUUCGGGAUAAGCCCGGGAAACUGGGUCUAAUACCGGAUACGACCGUCGGACGCAUGUCUGGUGGUGGAAAGUUUUUUCGGUUGGGGAUGGGCUCGCGGCCUAUCAGUUUGUUGGUGAGGUAAUGGCUCACCAAGACGACGACGGGUAGCCGGCCUGAGAGGGCGACCGGCCACACUGGGACUGAGACACGGCCCAGACUCCUACGGGAGGCAGCAGUGGGAAUAUUGCACAAUGGGGGAAACCCUGAUGCAGCGACGCAGCGUGCGGGAUGACGGCCUUCGGGUUGUAAACCGCUUUCAGCAGGGAAGAAGCGAAAGUGACGGUACCUGCAGAAGAAGUACCGGCUAACUACGUGCCAGCCGCCGCGGUAA